Molecule: long non-coding RNA, 782 nt
Organism: Mauremys mutica (yellowpond turtle)
Lineage: Eukaryota; Metazoa; Chordata; Testudines; Geoemydidae
Exons: 3
Source: RefSeq, a predicted model, not a curated record
CACUGGCUAGAUAACUGGAACUGCUGCUGAGCUCUGCCCAUAUAACACCACAUCAGUUCAUUAGAAGAGGAUCAGAGUCCAGUUAUCUGGAGAGCUGUGGACAGAGAAAAGCAACAGUUAGGCCCACCCACAGCUGUGGGCAGGUUGAGAGCAGUUGUGAACACUACAGUGGGAGGAGAGCAGUUUGCAGCAUCAAACCUACCUCAUAUCAGCCUAAAAGUUCUGGAGAUGGACUCAAACUAAGGAAGAAAAUCCAGCCCCCUUUCAUCUUCAAGUAAAUUCCGAUUCCGAUCCAGGCCUGAAUCCAACCCCUCAGCUCUAUCCUGCUUCUCCAAAUUGAAACGUUGCAUCCACACCUUGCUCUUGAACCUUGCUUUUAUUGAAGGUGGAGGGAAACGCCUAAGAAAUACAAAAAUGGUUUUAAGAAGAUGUUAAGGUGACAUGCUUAGACACUGAGAAAUGCCAAAGAUAAGCAUCCAUGUCUGAAGCGCAGCAUGGUCUAGCAUCCACAGCAUUGGCCUGGGAGUCAGGGCAUGUUAUUGCUAUUCCUGGUUGUGCCACUGACCUGCUUUGUGAUCUCGGGUAAAUCACUUAAUCUCUCUGUGCCUUUGUUUCUGCUCCCACCUUUUGUCUGUCUUGCCUAUUUAGAUUGUCGAUUGUAAGAUCUUUGGGGGCAGAGACUGUUUUGUACAGUGCAAUGGGGCCCUGAUCUUAGUUGUGUCCCGUUGGCACUACUUCAGUACAAAUAACAAGGAAAUAAAACCUUAACUCUGUCCCUUGCA